CAAAACAAGUGCUCAGUUCUUACCGUG
RNAcentral lists this non-coding RNA (27 nucleotides) under Homo sapiens (human). The record is from RNAcentral. Lineage: Eukaryota; Metazoa; Chordata; Mammalia; Primates; Hominidae.